Molecule: transfer RNA, 78 nt
Filed under: Sepiadarium kochi
Lineage: Eukaryota; Metazoa; Mollusca; Cephalopoda; Sepiida; Sepiadariidae
Description: tRNA-Leu
Source: RNAcentral
AUUAGGAUGGCAGAUCAGUGCUUAGGAUUUAAGAUCCUAAUAGGGAGUGAAUAUAAGUUAUUUGUACUCUUUCUAAUA